UACGUAGGGUGCGAGCGUUAAUCGGAAUUACUGGGCGUAAAGCGUGCGCAGGCGGUUUUGUAAGCCAGGUGUGAAGUCCCCGGGCUUAACCUGGGAAUGGCAUUUGGGACUGCAAGGCUGGAGUGUGGCAGAGGAGACUGGAAUUCCUGGUGUAGCAGUGAAAUGCGUAGAUAUCAGGAGGAACACCGGUGGCGAAGGCGGGUCUCUGGGCCGAUACUGACGCUGAGGAGCGAAAGCGUGGGGAGCGAACAGG
Molecule: ribosomal RNA, 253 nt
Filed under: uncultured bacterium
Lineage: Bacteria
Description: partial 16S ribosomal RNA
Rfam family: Bacterial small subunit ribosomal RNA
Source: RNAcentral